GAGAAAGGGAGUCGGAAAGAGAGCAAGAGAGCUAUCAGAGAGAGUCAGACAGGUGGCGAUGGAAACAACGGUGGAGGAUGUGGUGAUAGUGGGGGCAGGGAUAGCUGGUUUGGCCACGGCAGUGGCGUUGAAGAGUGCAGGAAUUGAAGCGCUUGUGUUGGAGAGAUCUGAAGGGCUGAGAGCCACAGGUGCAGCCUUGAUCGACUCUAUACCCCAACGCUUGGUCUGCUUUUGAUGCAUUGGGAAUUUCUCAGAAGCUCGCAACUCGUUAUCCCCCCACGCUCAAGGUUCCAGUUGGACCGAGAUGUUUACACCGGAAAGCCUUACUCAAGGCCUUGGCAGAUAAAUUAACAAUUCAUUCAGUUCGUUUCUCUUCUAAGAUCUCUGCUAUUGAUACCCAACAACAUGAAGGUUCAUCCCUUGCCAUUGUUCACUUGGAAAAUGGAACUAUCAUCAAAACAAAGAUUCUGAUAGGGUGUGACGGUGUGCACUCGGUGGUGUCACGCUGGUUAGGACUCGGUGAAUCAGUCCUUUCGGGUUGAUCAGCGGUUCGUGGAUUGGCUGUGUUUCCUCAAGGCCAUGGACUCGACCAAAACUUCCGGCAGUACAUAGGAAUAGGCAGAAGCUAGAGCUGGUUUGAUUCCCGUUUCUGACAAAGAAGUAUUUUGGUUCUUCAGUUGCACAUCUCCAGCUAAAGGUGUAAGCUUGGAAAAGGAUCCUGAAGAAAUUAAAAAACAAGUACUUGAGAAUUAUGCCAAGCACCUCCCACCUUUGUACCUAGACGUUGUGCGGCACUCGGAUCUUUCAACGUUGACAUGGGCUCCGCUGAAAUUCAGAUAUCCAUGGCAUGUGUAUUUGGGAACUUAAGCAAGCAAAACGUCACGGUGGCCGGCGAUGCCAUGCACCCGAUGACACCUGAUUUAGCACAAGGGGGUGGCUCAGCAUUAGAAGAUGCCGUGGUCUUAGGCAGACACAUAGGGCAAUCCUUUGUACAAAAUGGACGAGUUCUGGUGCCAAAAGAGAUGGCCGUCGCAAUUGAUAAAUAUGUACAAGAAAGAAGGUGGCAUGUACGUUGCUUUGUUGAUUGUGGGAUCUUACAUAUCGGGAUGGGUGCAACAAGGAGGGUCUGGCUGGGGUAAUUAAUUCUUGAGGGAUGUCAUGUAUCACAAGUUCCUUUACCCAAAAAUUGUUAGAUAUAUGCACUAUGACUCUGGGAAACUUGAUUUCUAGUGCUUUUGAAGCAUUGCGUACAACUAUACAAGAUUGAUCGUUGCUAAGUUAUCAUUAUUGAUCGACUUCCUGAUUCAAUUCUUUUUCUGGCAUACGUACAAUGAACCAAUAUUCUACGAAAUAAAUUUGUAAGAACAAUGCC
This is a long non-coding RNA of Rosa chinensis, 1372 nucleotides long. RefSeq lists it as uncharacterized. The transcript is spliced from 4 exons. Lineage: Eukaryota; Viridiplantae; Streptophyta; Magnoliopsida; Rosales; Rosaceae. The record is from RefSeq and is a predicted model, not a curated record.